AGAGAUUCCUUUGGGCCUUCAUCCCAAUCUUCAAACUUGGAUCCAAGCGAACCUCAUCUAAUGCGACGUAAAACAUAUUCCUCAACUCACAUGGCCCAUCUUUGAACCCCUCCUAAUCUCAUCCUCUUGCUUUGAAACUUCACGCGGAAACAGAGUCAAACAGAACGAGAUCCGUGAUCUUUGGCCGCAGAUUCCUGCCUCCAUUUUGGACAUCAAACGGAGGUCGUGAAAGCUCUUGAAUCAGGAAUAAGCGUCGUUAUCCACGUCCUUCAAAUCACGUCGAGUUGACGCGAUGUGGUGGUUCUUAGGCGGCUCUUUAUCAUCAAUGCUUGCGUUCUAAUCCCGGAGCGGUGACUCGACCUUCCUAGCAUUAACUAAAUGCGUCAUGUUCCAUAUUGCCGCGGAUUCGAAGAUUCAUAAUUCCAAUCGUCUUGUAAUCGUGUGUGCCAACAAAAAGAAAAGGUUCCGACAAUGAAAUGGAGUACGUACCGAAUUCAACAGGUAUCGAAUGCACUUUCCUCUUCUUGAUCUCAAAUCGCCCUUUCUUUUCCUCGUCGUUGUAACUUCUUCCUCUUUUUUUUGUACUGCUUCUGUUGUUGGAUGCGUGUGAGCGUGUGAUGAGGGUUUGACGAGGUUAUGUCAAGAGGUGGUGGUUUUAGAUCGUAGAGUGAAGGUUUUCUUCUCAUGGCAUAUGAAUUAGGGUGUGUUGGUUGCAAGUGGUUAGAAAAGAAUUAUCGCAGCAGUUAGAGCUGAUUCAGCUCGGGAAGAGGCGUUUGAUCCUCAUGAGGGUGAAGAAUUAGUUAGCAGGUUCAGGGUUGGUUUCUGUCAUUUUUUUUCUUCAUCAUCCUCUCAAAUGAAUUAUAUAGGGAUCCAUCCAAUUGGUCCCAAGUUAUUCCAUUCUGUUAAGGCGGUUCGAGAUUCCGUUACAGGUUAGUUGGGACUGAGAAAGAGAGUCCGGAAUCGGUUGGGGGUUCUGUUGGAAUUCUACCGUUAGGAUUCAGUUAAGUUGUUAGAAUCAGUUGGUUGAUUUUCUGUUAUAUUAUUUGACAGUUGGAUUCUGUUAUGCAUUCAUUCUUGUGGCUUAUAAAGUGGUUAAAAAAAUGGAUCAACUUUAGGAUUGCAACCAUUGUGAAAAUAAGAAUCCCCCACCGGUGACAGAAUUCGACACUGCUUCAUCAAGGUUAGACUUAUUUGGACUUGGUAAGGGAUUUUAAGUGAAUGGUGACAUUUCUUUCAGCUCGCUAAACACACUCCUAGAAGUCAAAGGCGGAAUGUUCACUGAAUGAGUCAAGUUACGAUACAAAAGGCGAAUCCCAGCACAUCAGUUCAUGUCCAAUGAUUUGUUAACUUUGACUCCUACUAGAAUCCAGUACCUUGAUGUUGCUGCAUGGACUACUACUCUUUGUAGCUUUUUUCUCCAGUCCUGUAGAUAAUUCAGACCUUGAUGCUGCUUCAAGAAGCAAAGAAUCCCGCAGACUAACAGUGGAACAAUUUGGAUUCGAUGUUGUAAUUUAUUGAAUGAAUUUAGUGGUUGAAUGUACUUUUAUUGGAAUUGUUUUUAUCGGCCUUUUUCUAUUGCAAUUGGGCUGAAUGGCUUGGUUUAUAUCGGCUGUGCAUGUGGAUAUGCCAUGAUGAUGAAUUGGAGGGGAACUCAUGUGGAUUGUCCAUGAAAGGGGGGUUUCGAUCUAGAUAAGUAAUGUUUUAAUUUUUGUAACUAUCAAUUUGAAAUGUAAUGGGAAUGAUUUUUAAUUUGAAUAUUGGAAACGAAUCUGAAUAUAUGUACGUAAGUGGAAUUUGAUUUA
Long non-coding RNA from Lathyrus oleraceus (garden pea), 1802 nucleotides. RefSeq lists it as uncharacterized. The record is from RefSeq and is a predicted model, not a curated record. Lineage: Eukaryota; Viridiplantae; Streptophyta; Magnoliopsida; Fabales; Fabaceae. The transcript is spliced from 2 exons.